Molecule: long non-coding RNA, 445 nt
Filed under: Gossypium raimondii (Peruvian cotton)
Lineage: Eukaryota; Viridiplantae; Streptophyta; Magnoliopsida; Malvales; Malvaceae
Description: long non-coding RNA (GRAI_LNC008619)
Source: RNAcentral
UUAGAUAUCAUUUGAUGGAUUCUUUUGGUUCAAAUUUGAGGCCAUCCAUCCAUUGGGUGUGUAAUAGGCCUAUUUUGCCUAAACCCAAUUAAAAUACAAAGACCAAAAUAAAAUAAAUGCCCAGUUCAUUUGUUUUUUACAAACCCAAUUAAUAAAUUCAAAUUACAUCAGCAGGCCCAAUACCCAAACAACCCAAACAGCCCAACUAACCUAACUAAACCCUAGCCCAAAAAGAAACAAAAAAAAAGAAAAGCAAGAAACCCUAAAGAAAUUAGCAGCCGCCGCCCCCAACUCUAGCCGCAGCACAACUCGGAGCCAGCCUCUGCGCGCGCCGCCUCUCCGCAUGAGCCGCCACGUGUGUACCUGCAAAAGGACUAGGAGAGUCCAACAACAACUCAAACAAUGUAAAAAAUAGAAAAAAUAGGAAAUUUUGGGCUAUAAAAAC